Molecule: ribosomal RNA, 465 nt
Filed under: Vreelandella stevensii
Lineage: Bacteria; Pseudomonadati; Pseudomonadota; Gammaproteobacteria; Oceanospirillales; Halomonadaceae
Description: partial 16S ribosomal RNA
Rfam family: Bacterial small subunit ribosomal RNA
Source: RNAcentral
CCUACGGGUGGCAGCAGUGGGGAAUAUUGGACAAUGGGGGGAACCCUGAUCCAGCCAUGCCGCGUGUGUGAAGAAGGCCCUCGGGUUGUAAAGCACUUUCAGUGAGGAAGAACGCCUGGUGGUUAAUACCCAUCAGGAAAGACAUCACUCACAGAAGAAGCACCGGCUAACUCCGUGCCAGCAGCCGCGGUAAUACGGAGGGUGCGAGCGUUAAUCGGAAUUACUGGGCGUAAAGCGCGCGUAGGUGGCUUGAUAAGCCGGUUGUGAAAGCCCCGGGCUCAACCUGGGAACGGCAGCCGGAACUGUCAAGCUAGAGUGCAGGAGAGGAAGGUAGAAUUCCCGGUGUAGCGGUGAAACGCGUAGAGAUCGGGAGGAAUACCAGUGGCGAAGGCGGCCUUCUGGACUGACACUGACACUGAGGUGCGAAAGCGUGGGUAGCAAACAGGAUUAGAUACCCUGGUAGUC